RNAcentral lists this transfer RNA (73 nucleotides) under Salinibacterium sp. RNAcentral's name for it is "tRNA-Arg". It matches the Rfam family "tRNA". From Rfam's summary of the family: Transfer RNA (tRNA) molecules are approximately 80 nucleotides in length. Their secondary structure includes four short double-helical elements and three loops (D, anti-codon, and T loops). Lineage: Bacteria; Bacillati; Actinomycetota; Actinomycetes; Micrococcales; Microbacteriaceae. The record is from RNAcentral.
GCCCUAGUAGCUCAGGGGAUAGAGCGCCCGCCUCCUAAGCGGUAGGUCGCAGGUUCGAAUCCUGCCUAGGGCA